UACGUAGGGCGCAAGCGUUGUCCGGCAUUAUUGGGCGUAAAGAGCUCGUAGGCGGCUUGUCACGCCGGGUGUGAAAGCCCGGGGCUUAACCCCGGGUCUGCAUUCGAUACGGGCUAGCUAGAGUGUGGUAGGGGAGAUCGGAAUUCCUGGUGUAGCGGUGAAAUGCGCAGAUAUCAGGAGGAACACCGGUGGCGAAGACGGAUCUCUGGGCCAUUACUGACGCUGAGGAGCGAAAGCGUGGGGAGCGAACAGG
Molecule: ribosomal RNA, 253 nt
Filed under: uncultured bacterium
Lineage: Bacteria
Description: partial 16S ribosomal RNA
Rfam family: Bacterial small subunit ribosomal RNA
Source: RNAcentral